Molecule: small nuclear RNA, 101 nt
Filed under: Microcebus murinus (gray mouse lemur)
Lineage: Eukaryota; Metazoa; Chordata; Mammalia; Primates; Cheirogaleidae
Source: RNAcentral
AGCUAUUCUUAAUUUUGUGCUAUUUUUUCCAAAGGAUACAAAGAUUAGCAUGGCCCCUGCGCAAGGACGACCUGCAAAUUUGUCAAGUAUUCCAUGUUAAA